Molecule: unclassified non-coding RNA, 246 nt
Filed under: Hevea brasiliensis (rubber tree)
Lineage: Eukaryota; Viridiplantae; Streptophyta; Magnoliopsida; Malpighiales; Euphorbiaceae
Source: RNAcentral
ACCUUCCCUGACUCACAGGGGGGUCAACAGUUUUUAUCAACAAUUUUAGUAACUUGCUGGUGCAUCUGGAAAGAGCGAAAUGCAGCAAAUAUUUUUUAAUUUAAUUGUGAUGCAGAUUGGAAAAAGGAUAAUUCUUCAGCAGCUAUUGCAGUCAUUGUCAGGAACUACAAAGUGAACAUUGUUGAUGGUGCUGCAAAAAAAGUUCAUUGUUCUUCUCCCCUUCAAAGUGAAGCGAGGGCAAUGUUG